RNAcentral lists this ribosomal RNA (765 nucleotides) under uncultured Streptococcus sp. RNAcentral describes it as "bacterial SSU rRNA". It matches the Rfam family "Bacterial small subunit ribosomal RNA", at positions 28 to 776 of the family's 1533-position model. The record is from RNAcentral. Lineage: Bacteria; Bacillati; Bacillota; Bacilli; Lactobacillales; Streptococcaceae.
GACGAACGCUGGCGGCGUGCCUAAUACAUGCAAGUAGAACGCUGAAGAGAGGAGCUUGCUCUUCUUGGAUGAGUUGCAAACGGGUGAGUAACGCGUAGGUAACCUGCCUGGUAGCGGGGGAUAACUAUUGGAAACGAUAGCUAAUACCGCAUAAUAUUGACUAUUGCAUGAUAGUCAAUUAAAAGGUGCAAUUGCAUCACUACCAGAUGGACCUGCGUUGUAUUAGCUAGUUGGUGAGGUAACGGCUCACCAAGGCGACGAUACAUAGCCGACCUGAGAGGGUGAUCGGCCACACUGGGACUGAGACACGGCCCAGACUCCUACGGGAGGCAGCAGUAGGGAAUCUUCGGCAAUGGACGGAAGUCUGACCGAGCAACGCCGCGUGAGUGAAGAAGGUUUUCGGAUCGUAAAGCUCUGUUGUAAGAGAAGAACGAGUGUGAGAGUGGAAAGUUCACACUGUGACGGUAUCUUACCAGAAAGGGACGGCUAACUACGUGCCAGCAGCCGCGGUAAUACGUAGGUCCCGAGCGUUGUCCGGAUUUAUUGGGCGUAAAGCGAGCGCAGGCGGUUAGAUAAGUCUGAAGUUAAAGGCUGUGGCUUAACCAUAGUACGCUUUGGAAACUGUUUAACUUGAGUGCAAGAGGGGAGAGUGGAAUUCCAUGUGUAGCGGUGAAAUGCGUAGAUAUAUGGAGGAACACCGGUGGCGAAAGCGGCUCUCUGGCUUGUAACUGACGCUGAGGCUCGAAAGCGUGGGGAGCAAACAGG